RNAcentral lists this ribosomal RNA (690 nucleotides) under uncultured bacterium. RNAcentral describes it as "bacterial SSU rRNA". It matches the Rfam family "Bacterial small subunit ribosomal RNA", at positions 66 to 764 of the family's 1533-position model. The record is from RNAcentral.
GCGAAGCUUUUCAGUAGUUUACUACAGAAAAUGACUGAGCGGCGAACGGGUGAGUAACGCGUGAGCAAUCUACCUUAGUUACAGGGAUAGCCCGAGGAAACUCGGAUUAAUACCUGAUAUUCUUUAUAUUUCGCAUGAAAUUAAAAGGAAAGGUCAGCCGAACUAAGAUGAGCUCGCGUUCUAUCAGCUAGUUGGUGAGGUAAAAGCUCACCAAGGCUACGACGGAUAGCUGGUCUGAGAGGACGAUCAGCCACACUGGGACUGAGACACGGCCCAGACUCCUACGGGAGGCUGCAGCAGGGAAUAUUGCGCAAUGAGCGAAAGCUUGACGCAGCGACACCGCGUGUGGGAUGACGGAUCUAGGUUUGUAAACCACUUUCAGGAGGGAAGAAAAUGACGGUACCUCCACAAGAAGCCCCGGCCAACUACGUGCCAGCAGCCGCGGUAAUACGUAGGGGGCGAGCGUUGUCCGGAUUUAUUGGGCGUAAAGAGCUCGUAGGCGGUUCAACAAGUCGGUCGUAAAAGUUCAGGGCUCAACCCUGAAAUGUCGAUCGAUACUGUUGUGACUAGGAUACGGUAGAGGUGAGUGGAAUUCCGAGUGUAGCGGUGAAAUGCGUAGAUAUUCGGAGGAACACCAAUUGCGAAGGCAGCUCACUGGGCCGCUAUCGACGCUGAGGAGCGAAAGCUAGG